RNAcentral lists this small nuclear RNA (81 nucleotides) under Homo sapiens (human). Its description in RNAcentral is "partial ncRNA". Lineage: Eukaryota; Metazoa; Chordata; Mammalia; Primates; Hominidae. The record is from RNAcentral.
AGAGAGUCACUUGAACCCAGGAGGCGGAGGUUGCAGUGAAUUGAGAGAUUGUGCCACUGCACACCACCCUGGGCAACAAGA